AAUGAAUGGAGGAACCAGAAGUAAAACUACAAAACACUUAGACUGGAGAAUGCAUAAGGAGCGGCCAGAAGCCAGCCCAGACCGACCCGAGGAGGAACCUCAUUGGUAGAAGCAGCCUCUCCAGGAUUAGGGGGAUGUGAGACGCGAAGGGCAGGGGAAACCCAGUGGUCCAGCAUAGGCUACUGGUGGAUGAGGGGUCUUCCAUGGAGUUAGAGGAACACUGCCAGGUCAGGCCAGGGUUGCUCUCCGUGUGGCUAGCAGGCAGCUAAACAGAUCUGAAUGCAUUUCCACGCCUCCUCCCUACCGCCCCGGCCCGCAGCCUCGGGUUCCCACGGUCCCCAGUCCACUGCAAAAUCCAGGCUUCCCGCCCCUCUACGACUGGAGGGUAGGGGCGAGGCUAGCAGCUCCCUCCCGGCUUCCUCCGCUUGUUCUCUCCUCCCCUUCCCCCUCCUCCGGGCGGCUCUCCACUUCCUCUCCCCUCACCCCACCCCAGGGAAAAACGAAAACAAACACCCUUGCGCCCCGCACCUCCGACUCCCGCACCCCACGACCCGGCUCCGGAACUGCUUUGGCGGCCUGGGUCGGAGAAGGCACCUCGCCCCGGACCCCCUACGCCCCGCAGCUCAGUGACUCUUCGCCUCGCCCCUCGCCUUCCCCGCCCCAGCCCGACUCCGCCUCCCAAUGGGGAAACAUCCCAAAAAAGGGCAGAAAAGAAAUUUCAGCAUAAAGUUGGCCCACUGGGAAAGAGGGGAGCGUCCGCGGGGAGCGGGGGAAGAGAGGGAGGGCGCGCGGAGGGGAGUGGGGCCAGGCGAGCCGGGGCCGCGGAGCGGAGGGGUUCGUUACCCGUCCGGGUGGGAGCGGGGGCGGGGAACGCGCGGUGACCAGCCCAGCCGCAACCGCGUGGAAAAUAUGCGGGACACGUGGGGGGCUGGGCGGGGAGCUGGGUCCUGAGCCGCCGGGCGCUCGCAGGAAGGGCCUGGCUCCAGGGGCGGGGGCUGGGAGGGGAGGCGAGGGGAUGAGAGGUCAGGCCGGUCCCGGGGGCAGCAAGCCCGGCCACACUCCGCACCGCGACCGGGGCUCUGGGCUCGCCUCCUGCCUCAGUUUCCCCAAGCCCCCGAUGAGACUCCGCUACUACCACCACGUCGAUAACGCAAACUUAGAGGGACUCUGGGUAAACUGAGGCACUCAAAUUGCCGAGGAGCUCCGCCUCCCAAGAGACAUUUAAUCCAGGGGGAUUUGCAGGAAACUUCUAAAUUAAGGGUAGCGGCUGCUGCAGCUGAGGGGGGGCACGCCGGUCGCUGCGCCUGGGCAGCUGCCGUGAGCUCACGCCCCGAAAUAGCCCCAGGGGCCCCAGCCGCAGCUGCCACUGGGUCCGGCUGUCACUCAGAGGAAGCACGGAGCCCCCAGCCCAAAGGUCCCCUCCCCUCCGCAGCGCCGGAGUUUUUCCAGCCGACCUUCUGCUACUUUUUCCUCCGACGGCUGGCGGGGAAGAGGGGAAUGGGGGCGGGACCCCAAGGGAGGCGGUCCCCAGUGGGUGGGCGAAGGGGGCGGGCGCGCCCCCCGGCCGGGCCGUGCUUCUGCCCCUACAAGGUUUGGGCCGAGGUGGGGGAGGGUCCUGGUUGCCGGCCCCGCCCGGUCCCUCCCUGCCUUUUAGGCGCCCGCGCGGCCGGGACGUCCCAGCUCCGCUUGGUCCUCCUUGCCUGCCACCCGUGUACCCAGUCCGCUCAGCCAGCCCAGUCCGUCCAGUCCUCACCGCCUGCCGGCCUGCCCACCCCCCACCGCAGCCAUGGACGCCAUCAAGAAGAAGAUGCAGAUGCUGAAGCUGGACAAGGAGAACGCCAUCGACCGCGCCGAGCAGGCCGAAGCCGACAAGAAACAAGCUGAGGACCGCUGCAAGCAGCUGGAGGAGGAGCAGCAGGCCCUCCAGAAGAAGCUGAAGGGGACAGAGGAUGAGGUGGAAAAGUAUUCUGAAUCCGUGAAGGAGGCCCAGGAGAAACUGGAGCAGGCCGAGAAGAAGGCCACUGAUGCUGAGGCAGAUGUGGCCUCUCUGAACCGCCGCAUUCAGCUGGUUGAGGAGGAGCUGGACCGGGCCCAGGAGCGCCUGGCUACAGCCCUGCAGAAGCUGGAGGAGGCCGAGAAGGCGGCUGAUGAGAGCGAGAGAGGAAUGAAGGUCAUUGAAAACCGGGCCAUGAAGGACGAGGAGAAGAUGGAGCUGCAGGAGAUGCAGCUGAAGGAGGCCAAGCACAUCGCUGAGGAUUCAGACCGCAAAUACGAAGAGGUGGCCAGGAAGCUGGUGAUCCUGGAAGGAGAGCUGGAGCGCUCGGAGGAGAGAGCUGAGGUGGCUGAGAGCCGAGCCAGACAGCUGGAGGAGGAACUUCGAACCAUGGACCAGGCCCUCAAGUCCCUGAUGGCCUCAGAGGAGGAGUAUUCCACCAAAGAAGAUAAAUAUGAAGAGGAGAUCAAACUGUUGGAGGAGAAGCUGAAGGAGGCUGAGACCCGAGCAGAGUUUGCUGAGAGGUCUGUGGCAAAGUUGGAGAAAACCAUUGAUGACCUAGAAGAUGAAGUCUAUGCCCAGAAGAUGAAGUACAAGGCCAUUAGCGAGGAACUGGACAACGCACUCAAUGACAUCACCUCCCUCUGAGCCCCACGCCAGCGUGGCCACCUCAGCCCUCUUCUCUCCUCUCCUUUCUAUUCUCUCUAUGGGGAGGGGAGCAGGCAGGAGGAGCAGAAAUUGCCAACAUUGCACAGCCAGGCUGGGAGCAGCCUAGGGAGAGCCCCUAUCAUGCCCACCACCCACUCUGGCACUGGCUUCAUCCUUUACCUGUCCCCUCCACCCCCCUUUGCUGCUUAAUAAACUCUGAACUUGGUCUCCAUGCUGUUUUCCUGCCCUCCAGAGAGCACCUCUAUCGCCACCACGGAGCACUGGUUCACUCCUGACACCCUGACUCUUACUGACACCCGCAGCCCCUGCACUGAGCCCACCCACAAAACACCAUGGCCCACGCUGAAACCCCUCUGCACAGGCACUCCCUGGCUGUCGCUCUCUGACUCACCGCUGCAUGUGGACACGUGUAGCCCCGUCAAACCAUGACCCCCUCUGGUGCCAAUCACUGACCUCAGAGCACUUAGCUGGGGUUCCAGGAUCAAACAGAGUGACUGGAAAGGAAGUAGGGUGGUGAGGUGCAGGACAGGGGCAAGAAGGUUGCAAAAGGUCUGGAAUGGAGCUUGGAAAAAAUGUUGGAUACCUGCAACAUGGGGCUUUCACUGCAGCGGCAGAGACCUUGGCCAGUGCCAAGGAGGAGAACGUCGAGAUUCACCAGACCUUGGACCAGACGCUGCUGGAACUCAACAACCUGUGAGGGCCCGCCCCACCCACAGCCAGGCUGUGGCUGCUGCCCCAACCCAAUAAAACUGAUGUUACCAGCU
This is a non-coding RNA of Macaca mulatta (Rhesus monkey), 3426 nucleotides long. The record is from RefSeq and is a predicted model, not a curated record. NCBI's taxonomy places the organism in Eukaryota, Metazoa, Chordata, Mammalia, Primates, Cercopithecidae.